UUGGCUUCGAUUUCUCCGAUUUCUUCUUCUAUCAUCUUUGGUUCUGAUCUCAUCUUAGCUAAUUAGAGCUGUUGAAAUUAUUUAGAGGAAUUUUUACUAUGAUGAUUGGUCAAACUUGUGUUUCUUAGAUAGGAGAGCUUGGUUAGUUUUGUAAAAAUGCGUAUGAAUCUGCUGCUUUGUGUGGGGAUUGAGUUUCUGGUGAGCGUAGUACUUCUAUAAUAGUUUCGAUUCAUGUUUUAACAGGAGAUAAUCAUGGUCAGUUCUUUGAUCUAUGGUGGUGGCUAUCCCCUGACUUAAUUUGCAGAGCUCAUCAGGUGAUAUUUUGCUUGAGGAAAACCCUUUUAGACAUAUGUAUCUGUGGCAUUUUAACCUCUCAUCAUAGUGCUACUCAAGCUUAUGACUUACUAACUAUGGACGGGUAUGAAUUCUUUGCAAAUAGACAGCUAGUAACGAUAUUCUCGUCCUCAAACUAUUGUGUAGAGUUUGAUAACGCAAGAGCAAUGAUGAGUGUGGAUGAUUCCUUGACGUGCUCAUUUCAGAUCUUUAAAGCAUCUCAGAAAAAAGGAAAUUUCGGAUUUGGGAAAUCAGGAAAGAGAGGAAACCCGCCUCACAAGGGUGGAAAAGGCUGAAGCAAAAUCCCAUCAUCCUGCUCCACCAUAUGCUUCCUGGUCUCCAACACAAGCAAGGACAAGAAAAGAUGUCCAAAAGUGAUCCAUCAUCUGCCAUUUUUAUGGAAGUUGAGGAGAUAAACUAGUAGCUAUACAAGCUUACAAAACAGAGAAGAGUUUUUUGUAGGUAUUGACAUGUGUUAUGAUCUAUCUUCCAGGCUGAUGUUAAUGAGAAGAUCAACAAAGCUUAUUGCCAUCCAAAAAGUGUGGAAGC
Long non-coding RNA from Camelina sativa (false flax), 882 nucleotides. RefSeq lists it as uncharacterized. The record is from RefSeq and is a predicted model, not a curated record. NCBI's taxonomy places the organism in Eukaryota, Viridiplantae, Streptophyta, Magnoliopsida, Brassicales, Brassicaceae.